This 253-nucleotide ribosomal RNA is filed under the name uncultured bacterium. Its description in RNAcentral is "partial 16S ribosomal RNA". It matches the Rfam family "Bacterial small subunit ribosomal RNA", at positions 524 to 776 of the family's 1533-position model. The record is from RNAcentral.
UACGAAGGGGGCUAGCGUUGUUCGGAAUUACUGGGCGUAAAGAGCGCGCAGGCGGUCGUGCAAGUCGCGUGUGAAAGCCCCCGGCUCAACUGGGGAGGGUCGCACGAUACUGCUCGACUCGAAGGCAGGAGAGGGAAGUGGAAUUCCCGGUGUAGUGGUGAAAUGCGUAGAUAUCGGGAGGAACACCAGUGGCGAAGGCGACUUCCUGGCCUGUUCUUGACGCUGAGGCGCGAAAGCUAGGGUAGCAAACGGG